This 882-nucleotide ribosomal RNA is filed under the name Triticum aestivum (bread wheat). RNAcentral describes it as "partial small subunit ribosomal RNA". Lineage: Eukaryota; Viridiplantae; Streptophyta; Magnoliopsida; Poales; Poaceae. The record is from RNAcentral.
AUGUCUUUACGUUAUUUUUGCGCGGUAUGUAGGAUACCUUAUGAGGGAGAAUUAGAGGAACCCCAUCGUGAAGAUGUGGAUGGUUUCGUUAAAACUAUUGUUGUAGAAGAGCCAAAGAAGGGCUCUGAGGCAAAAGUCUCUAGCAUACACUUUCCUGUUUUAUGCUACUUUGCCAUAUUUGCUAGUAGAUGCUUGAUUGGUCAUGGAAAUAGUGGAAAUUUGAGCGUUCCAGAUAUUCUUCUUCUUCAACAUGCUUUGUUGGGAGACAGCACUUUUAGUAUGGGUGCCGUCAUUGCUAAACGGCUAGCCCUGAAUCGUACAAAAGUCCCCAUAUUUGGAGGUAUCUAUGCUGCACGUCUUGCUGAACAUUUUCAGAUACCCAUUAGGCACCAUGAGGAGGAGGAGACAAAAUUACCUCCUCACAUUUUAGAUUACAAGAGCAUGGUAGCACACAAGUUUAUUGUUGACAACGAAGAGAAGAUGCUCUUGUAUAGACUUAGAUUCAAUAAGAAACACUUUGAGUUCAUUAUUUUGCCUGCACCUCUGUUAUUUGAUUUGCUUGCACAGAGUCGUCUUGUCACGCCAGAGGCGGUGAACAACCAUCUAGCCCAAGCUUUUACUCCAGAACCUGAACCUGAGCCAGAACCUGAAUUGGACCCUUGUCGUGCAUCAUCUGUCCAGUGGGAUCUGGAGAUGAUCAGCCAGUGGUAUCCUGAUUACACCUCCCACUACACCGGGGAGAGUAGCGGUGGUCCUUGGUAUUAUACCAACUUAGGCCAAAAGCCUAAGCUUGAGGGAGUACAUAUUUCUCACCGACUUUACAUUCAUGUUCACACACUAGUCGUCGGUGCUCAUACUCUUUCAUUGUAUUAUCCAUGUUAG